This 552-nucleotide ribosomal RNA is filed under the name Cryptosporidium varanii. RNAcentral describes it as "SSU rRNA". It matches the Rfam family "Eukaryotic small subunit ribosomal RNA", at positions 492 to 1073 of the family's 1831-position model. Lineage: Eukaryota; Apicomplexa; Conoidasida; Eucoccidiorida; Cryptosporidiidae. The record is from RNAcentral.
GGACUUACGGUUUUGUAUUGGAUGAGUUAAGUAUAAACCCCUUUACAAGUAUCAAUUGUGAGGGCAAGUCUGGUGCCAGCAGCCGCGGUAAUUCCAGCUCCAAUAGCGUAUAUUAAAGUUGUUGCAGUUAAAAAGCUCGUAGUUGGAUUUCUGUUAAUAAUUUAUAUAUAAUAUUACGGUAUUUAUAUAAUAUUAACAUAAUUCAUAUUACUUUAUUUUUAGAGUAUAUGAAAUUUUACUUUGAGAAAAUUAGAGUGCUUAAAGCAGGCAUAUGCCUUGAAUACUCCAGCAUGGAAUAAUAUUAAAGAUUUUUAUCUUUCUUAUUGGUUCUAAGAUAAAAAUAAUGAUUAAUAGGGACAGUUGGGGGCAUUUGUAUUUAACAGUCAGAGGUGAAAUUCUUAGAUUUGUUAAAGACAAACUAGUGCGAAAGCAUUUGCCAAGGAUGUUUUCAUUAAUCAAGAACGAAAGUUAGGGGAUCGAAGACGAUCAGAUACCGUCGUAGUCUUAACCAUAAACUAUGCCAACUAGAGAUUGGAGGUUGUCCUUUACUCC